AGAGUUUGAUCCUGGCUCAGGAUGAACGCUGGCGGUAUGCUUAACACAUGCAAGUCGAACGGACUCUUCGGAGUUAGUGGCGGACGGGUGAGUAACGCGUGAGAAUCUGGCUUCAGGUUCGGGACAACAGUUGGAAACGGCUGCUAAUACCGGAUGUGCCUUAUGGUGAAAGAUUUAUCACCUGAAGAUGAGCUCGCGUCUGAUUAGCUAGUAGGUGUGGUAAGAGCGCACCUAGGCGACGAUCAGUAGCUGGUCUGAGAGGAUGAUCAGCCACACUGGGACUGAGACACGGCCCAGACUCCUACGGGAGGCAGCAGUGGGGAAUUUUCCGCAAUGGGCGAAAGCCUGACGGAGCAAUACCGCGUGAGGGAGGAAGGCUCUUGGGUUGUAAACCUCUUUUCUCAGGGAAGAAUGAUGACGGUACCUGAGGAAUAAGCAUCGGCUAACUCCGUGCCAGCAGCCGCGGUAAUACGGAGGAUGCAAGCGUUAUCCGGAAUGAUUGGGCGUAAAGCGUCCGCAGGUGGCAAUGUAAGUCUGCUGUCAAAGCGUCUGGCUCAACCAGAUAAAGGCAGUGGAAACUACAUAGCUAGAGUAAGGUAGGGGUAGAGGGAAUUCCUGGUGUAGCGGUGAAAUGCGUAGAGAUCAGGAAGAACACCGGUGGCGAAAGCGCUCUGCUGGACCUUAACUGACACUGAGGGACGAAAGCUAGGGGAGCGAAUGGGAUUAGAUACCCUAGUAGUCC
Molecule: ribosomal RNA, 742 nt
Filed under: uncultured bacterium
Lineage: Bacteria
Description: bacterial SSU rRNA
Rfam family: Bacterial small subunit ribosomal RNA
Source: RNAcentral